GUAUUCUACACCCUUUCAUUUCACAACUCUCUAACCGGAUACAAGCUUUGGAUUCAUGUCUUUAUUCGGCUUCAAAUAUGCUUUCUUUCGGAUGCCUAAAGAAGUUGGCAUUGAAGAAAAGACAAACCUGAAGAAAGUACAAGUACACGUGGACUUGAUUCUAAGCUUGAGGUGUCAACUAGAAGAAUUAAGUCUCGGAAGAAAAGGAAAUGAAAGAUUAUGUGCUAUUUUGUUAUGCUUGUAAUGCUGACAGAUUAUGUGCCACAUUUCAUAGUAUGUU
Molecule: long non-coding RNA, 280 nt
Organism: Vicia villosa (hairy vetch)
Lineage: Eukaryota; Viridiplantae; Streptophyta; Magnoliopsida; Fabales; Fabaceae
Exons: 3
Source: RefSeq, a predicted model, not a curated record